Brassica oleracea var. oleracea is the source of this 1147-nucleotide long non-coding RNA. RefSeq lists it as uncharacterized. NCBI's taxonomy places the organism in Eukaryota, Viridiplantae, Streptophyta, Magnoliopsida, Brassicales, Brassicaceae. The transcript is spliced from 6 exons. The record is from RefSeq and is a predicted model, not a curated record.
AACAGUGUAUCGUGAUGGGCUUUCUCCGCGUAUCCGGCCCGAGAGGAUCGUCAAACCCUAAUUGCUAGAUUUGUUCAUCGUCUCUCCAUUCCUGCACAUGACGCCUGAGCUUCUGUCCAUGGUUGAAACCGUCGGAAGUCGGAGCUGUAACAUCGUGUUUAAUCCCACAUUCAAUGAUCCUUAUCUCUUCAAGACGGUGUUUCUCAAUCUAUAAAAAGCUGUGUUUGCUCCGAUUCUAGGAAGCUUGAUUCGAAGUCGACCCUCACGCCAACCAUCGUAAAUGUUCACCGUCUCGCCGCCGCUUUUAGGACUGUCUCAAGACUGGUUCAGUGUUCACACCAUAGCUCCUUGAUACAGAUGGUCUAAUCUUUGGAAUGGACGCCUGAGAAGAACCGAAUGUCAGAGCAUCCUAACAAUAUGGGCCUCUGCUAGAAGUGCAGAGUGCUGUAAAAGGGAAAGACAAAGAAAAGGGCAAGUAAUAAAGUGCUGAAAAUUGUAAUCGUUUAGAUCUUGAAGAGGGUGGACGGACGUUAGUACCGCUACAUCAUGGACAUCAUCAAAGAACUUGCUAAGGUGCUCAAAGAUGAUCUCACCCCAAGAAAGAAAUCUACAAAGCUAAUGAUCCAAAACGAGCUCACCGGAUAAGCAGAAGCGGUAGAUGAAGGAGAGGAUGAGAAGAAAUAAGAACAUGGUAUGAAUUUUUGUUGUUUUGUUUGAGUCUGAACUAUGCAAAGCAUUUUUGUUUUUGGUAGCAAGAGGAAGAAGCUGCAUAGCCAGGUAGGUUUUAUGUAUGUCUAUACCAUUUAACAAAAAGUCUCCUUAGAUAACCGUCUGAUUUGUGAGGGUCUCUUUCGAACAAUAUUCAGUGGGAAUAAAUAAAGAAUAUGAUUGUCUUAUUAUAUAGGUUAUCAACUUAAACAACUACUCACUAAUUUAAUCGUCUCUCCCUUUCAUUGCAGACUUUGUGGGCAAGACGUACUACUGUUAAACAUCAUACAUUGACAAUAGCUUUAUGGUUUGCAUACAUGUUGGUAUCAGUAUCACCAAUAUCUUUCAUAUUUCUUUUUCUCCAUGUUACAUCACCUGUUCUUAUUUAUUUCUUCAGUUCGCUUUUAAAUUAAAAUUGUGAUUUUUUUGCGUUUCUUCA